RNAcentral lists this ribosomal RNA (208 nucleotides) under uncultured fungus. RNAcentral describes it as "partial 26S ribosomal RNA". It matches the Rfam family "Eukaryotic large subunit ribosomal RNA", at positions 73 to 282 of the family's 3401-position model. The record is from RNAcentral. Lineage: Eukaryota; Fungi.
UGACCAGUACGGCGAGUGAAGCGGCAAGAGCUCAAAUUUGAAAGCUGGCUCCUUCGGGGUCCGCAUUGUAAUUUGCAGAGGAUGCUUCGGGAGCGGUCCCCAUCUAAGUGCCCUGGAACGGGACGUCAUAGAGGGUGAGAAUCCCGUAUGGGAUGGGGUGUCCGCGCCCGUGUGAAGCUCCUUCGACGAGUCGAGUGUUUGGGAAUUA